Molecule: ribosomal RNA, 460 nt
Filed under: uncultured bacterium
Lineage: Bacteria
Description: partial 16S ribosomal RNA
Rfam family: Bacterial small subunit ribosomal RNA
Source: RNAcentral
CCUACGGGAGGCAGCAGUGAGGAAUAUUGGUCAAUGGACGAGAGUCUGAACCAGCCAAGUAGCGUGAAGGAUGACUGCCCUAUGGGUUGUAAACUUCUUUUAUAUGGGAAUAAAAUGUUCCACGUGUGGGAUUUUGUAUGUACCAUAUGAAUAAGGAUCGGCUAACUCCGUGCCAGCAGCCGCGGUACUACGGAGGAUCCGAGCGUUAUCCGGAUUUAUUGGGUUUAAAGGGAGCGUAGGUGGAUUGUUAAGUCAGUUGUGAAAGUUUGCGGCUCAACCGUAAAAUUGCAGUUGAAACUGGCAGUCUUGAGUACAGUAGAGGUGGGCGGAAUUCGUGGUGUAGCGGUGAAAUGCUUAGAUAUCACGAAGAACUCCGAUUGCGAAGGCAGUUCACUGGACUGCAACUGACACUGAGGCUCGAAAGUGUGGGUAUCAAACAGGAUUAGAUACCCCAGUAGUC